RNAcentral lists this long non-coding RNA (5065 nucleotides) under Panax ginseng (ginseng). Its description in RNAcentral is "long non-coding RNA (PGIN_LNC008402)". Lineage: Eukaryota; Viridiplantae; Streptophyta; Magnoliopsida; Apiales; Araliaceae. The record is from RNAcentral.
UAUUCCCCGACAUAAAGAAUAUUCCCUGACCAAUCGAAUAUAAUAUAACAACUUGCAUACUUUGCAAAAUUUAUAAAUAAUACCUACAACUAUAACUUUAUCUCAAAUUCACACCAUAAUAUUCAAAAAAAUAUUUCGAGAAAAUUAAAUCUUUAUUCGUAAAAUUUGGGGUCUCACAACAAAGGGUAAUCAGCACAAUAAUUUCGAAAAACUUCAAAUCAGUUACAACCAUGAAGAAAUCACACCCAACUGUAGACAUUCCAGCAGACCCCAACAAAAUCUCAAAACAAAUCGAUCUGAUGUGGAAAGAAACAAAGAACCCAUAACGUAGAACCUCCGAAAAUUCCGAAAAGAUAAAUCCACCGGAAAAACAGAUUUGACCGAAGCAAACACCUAUGAACAAACCAGAUUAAAUUAAACAUAAGAAAACAUAAUGAACAUCAAUUAAAUCGGUACAAUCACAGAAAUAAUUUCAAAUCUGAGCAUGAAUAAAAAGGCAAUAGGUACCCAGAUCCGAACAAGCACAUAAGGACAUCAGAUCCAAAAAGGCUAUCAUCCAAAAGCCAGAAAGACCCAACAUCAAACAGAUAAUCACUUUAGGGACCAACCACACCUGAGUCAACCUUCAGAUAAGGCCCUCAAACAAGAUCAAAACAACAUGCCAAAACACCCAAACUCUCCCUACUAGGCAAAUCGAAGAAGAGCGCAACCGUCAAACCCUCGGACUUGGCUAAGAUCGGUCGAAAAAAGGAGCCGUUCGAAAAAUUGAUUUAGGCUACUGGAAGACACAUAAAAGAUAGAGGAGAAGGAGAAGGAGAAGGAGCAGGCAUACAUGUAAGGAGAAGACGAGGUUUUAUGGCUGGUUUUAUAUUAGAAGCCCUAGGAUUUUUGGACUUCAUUUGGAGCCUGCUAGUUGAAUCAUUAGAGGGAGGAGAGGAAUGAACGAAAUGAAUCUUAGAUUUGUAAAUCUGUGAAGUGUUUUAAUUUUUUUUUGGAGAAAUCUCAUGUUUUGAUAUAAAGAUUAUUCCUUGCAAAUUACUAACAGCUAGGCUCGUGGUGCUCGGGUGGUCAAAUGACCAAAGUUCCAAACAAUAUGUCACGGGUUCGAAUCUGUGUAAAGACAAGUUUUGGGAAAAAUUCAAAAGAUCUGCCACGUCAGCGGACAAGUGUCAAAUUUUAAUAUUAAAUACCACGUCAGACCUGUUGACGUGUGCCACGUAGGCGCCAUGUGUGCCACGUCACUAGGUCAAUGUACAUGUGAUUGCAUUUAACCCUGCCACAUAGUGAUGUACCAAUUUAUAUCCGUGAAGAUUAAAUAACAUAAUUACUUCAUCUUGAUCAGAUUAUUAACGUACCUUGUGCCAUGGAUUAGCUUUGAUUUGAGGAAUCUUUAAUUUAGUGUAAUGUGGAAUCAUACAUUUAACUUCCUCUAUGAUUGGUGUGCCUAAACUCUAGCAUAACAUAAAUGUAAAAGUAGUAAGAGAUGCACAAUAAAAUGAUACAAAAAAAAGAAUCAAAACAUCAAUGGAUAAAAUACCUUGAUGCUCUCCACCAGUUGAUCAACACUACUUUCCCCGGGAAACAAUGGCUACAUACGAUGCAAAAGGCAGUAUAAAUCAGACAAACUUGGAAACAUGUUCACAAGAACAACGCACAAGAAAUAAAACCAAACUUCACCAAGAAAAACCUAUUUAAAGGGUAAAAAGUUAUACUGCAAACUUUGGGAAAUAAAAGAAUUAAAUAUACAAAGAUAUACUUUUUUCCUUUAUAAGUUCAGCAUAUGAUCUCUUUCAUUCUCCCACUCUGUGGAUAAGUUAAGUUAAUUAAUUAAACAUAUAUUUACUUGUAAUUGAUGAAAUGACAUAACUAGACAGAUGCAAAGUAGCCUAUAAAUAGCCAACUAAAUUCGAAAUCUCUAAUAACAAAAGACUACCAUUAUCUUCGUAAAUUUCAUUUGGUACUUUGCGAAUUUAAAUUAACAUUUACCCCACAUUACAAGGAAUGAAAAUGUAUUCUUGUGUUACCUUUUGCAAUCUCUUUAGUACUACUAUCUAUGUAAAUUUUUUCCUCUUAAUAGUAACUCUUUUCAAUCAGUUGCUCAUCUCUAUCUUUAUCUCACCUAUGGAUUCUUUUAACAAAUUAAUUCACAUACCUGUCAUUUGCGAACGGGUUACGGGCAAGCCCAUAAAAUUGCAGAACAUGUGAGCCAUAAGUGGAGUAGUAAGAUGCCCUGCAAUUAACAUACUCUAGAUACAUCACAAAAAGCACAAACUUUACCCAUUUUAAAAAAGAAUAAUUAACUCUUGUUCAUGUAAAACUCAAAAAUGUAUAAACAAAGGACAAAUAACAAACAACAUUAAAUGGAAAAAUAACUAUGGAACCCCAAAAUUUCUGGGUCUACAUUAAUAUUUAUAUGGAAACAGAUGCAUACUACCUACAUCAAACUUUGGACUUGGAUUUUCAAAUUCUGGGAUUUAAUGUGAUUUUGCUUACAUAAGUAAUAGUAAAGGAUUUAACUACUUGAACUGUGAUAUUAACAAACCAUGCUUAUCAGCAUAUGGAUCUGGCAUUUUUUUUGGCAGAUGUAGGUUUGAAAAUAAUUAGGUAUGUAGAAUCCUAAGACUUUUGCUACCAAAUCCUAAGGCUUAGGUUCUGAAAAAAAAAAUAUUUAAGUUCCUCAUGCAAGGUACUUAUAGAUACAACCUUCCCGAAAUCAAUCUCCUACAAACCUUAAACUUACAAAUUAACUAUCAACUAACAAAAUGAUAUUUCCACAUUGUCCAUACCAAACCACUAGAACUCUCUUGCUAAUCUCUUAUCUAUCCUAUCCACCACACCUACGCAAAGUAGUAAUAUAACCACCUUCCAGAAAGUAGACUACUCUAUUCCACUCAUCAUAUCACUUUGAGGCCUGCUACCUUAUGGAUCCUAAAAAUGUUGAGCUAAGUUGAGAACUAUGAAAAGUGCACCACUGACAUGUUCUAAAUAUUUUCACAAGAAAGGAUAGUACUAAUAUAUAAGUUAAGAGGGAAAAAUUGAGAAACUAAUAGUCUUAUUUAUCCACCUCUCAAAUUAACAAACAAACAGAGAGAUUUUUUUUCAAGACUAGGUGAUCUGUAAUUUACAGAAAGUAUUAUGAAGUAAAUUGGUAUCCAUACUCUUUAUUAAUAAUCAAGCAGAUUGCUGUUAGGAAACCCAAGACACCAAAUGAUUUUAAAAAUUGGUUCUGUUGUUAAUUCUACAUUUCACUUUCUACUAUUCUAAGUAAAUGACAUAAUCUAUACGUAGUGUGACAGAAAAUCUUUAAAAAUUGCAUCAAAAUGUGAAAAUUCUGGACAAGAAAAUGUGAAAAUUCAAAGGGAAAAACUCAUAUACAGCACUCUCAUCCAAUUAGGGGAGGAACUAUAGAUCAAGACAAGCAAAACCUCCCAAAACAUUAUUACACCACCUCAAUCUAAAUGAUACAGACAUGAUAAAUUUGAAGCGAGUUGCAUCAAAAGAGCCACCUCCAUAUAUAUUAUAAUGACACAACUAGAAAACUGAAUUCCCAAACUACAUUACACUUUACCCAAAAAAAAGAGAGCAAACACUUAGACGCUUCUAGUAACAAACAAACAUUAUCAAAUAGGAGUACAACCUAUUGAGUCUGAAUGCUCCAGGCUAGAGAGUAAGAAUAUGAACAAUUUUUCCAAGCCUCAUAAAAUACAAAAUCUGUUAACUACAAAUUUUCAGGCUAAACCCAAUAAUCAAAACAAUAAUAGAUAGAUAUAUUUGAAGUGAAUAAAUAAAAUAAAAUGUAACUAAAUAUUUUCACAAGAAAGGAUUACCUAUAUAUGUAACAAUGAUAUUGCCUGUGAGCUCUUGGCAUUUGCAUAUAUAUUAAACAUCUUUUAAUGCCACAUAUACCAUUCUACCAGAAUCUAGACAAAAUAUAUUGGUAUCCAAAGCAAGCUUGUUAAGGAAAGCGGCAAGGGGUGUUGUCUGGUAUAGAACCAGAACAAGGGCGGAGGGAGUUGUUUUCCAGUAGCAGCUUUCUUUUUCCUGGCUGAGUAAUAAGUAAGCAUGCGAGUACAUUAUUUCAGACGCCGAAUACGUUAAAUCACCCACCGAAGACGCAUAAGAAUAAUCCGAUGAAUCAUACAUAGCGUAGGAGUGAGUCUUCAUAUUCGAGGUUGGGGGAAUAAGGGAAAGCAAGUUACAACCCUUUAAUCGAUUAGAAUAGUGAUCCCAUCCGCGGAUAAGAAUCGCGCUUUACGAGCUGAAAACCAUGUCUUUUAUAAAAUCUUUCGUGGUUAGGCUUGAUGGAAUGGAGGGUUAAACAAGAUCAUGAGCUCUGACUUUGCUUUUUGCUGGUGAUAGUGAUGGUGCAGGGUCGGGGGAUGGAUACUAGUACUGGGACUGAUUCCGAUUCAAGGAAUGCUCCUACCCACGUAGUCUCCUUGUCCAUACCCAAGCCGAAAAAUGAUGAAAAACAAGUCCGUUGCAUGAAAUAUCGUGGUAGAAGCUUUUUGUUUAGUUGAUUCGGAAGCGGAGUCAGAGUAAAUAAACGACAAUCUCGCUUUGAAACCGCUCUGACCUUCUUUUCUUUGCCAAGCGGCUUUUAAAAAGGCCUCGUAAAAGGGGUAAAGUGAAGAAGGAGUCGGAGCUAACCAUAGUGAUAUGAAUGUCCGAUCGACUUCUAUAUGCAAGUAGAACGUCGGAUGCUCACUUUGCUAACCCGAAAUUGACCAAUACGAACUUCCCUUCGGAAACCAACUAAGGUAACUCCGAUUGAAUGCGGAAUCCCACUAGCCAUUAUUCGUAUGAACUCCUAGAUCCAUGAAGGACAUGGGCAUCUGUAAGUCGGUUAAGCGAAGAGCGGAAAGAAGGAAUCACAAAAGAAAUUCAUUCCUUCUUAACUUAAUUUGAUUGAACUUACCGGUCUGAUGAUCUUAAUCUAAGAUAAGGAAAAAGAAAAUCGAAUUUCCUUUUUCAAUCUCAAGGGUAAAGGUAAAAUUCAGAAUUCCAUUCUGAGCCGCAAAAAGAAGCACCUCGAAAGCUUCUUACAGUAUCAUCUCUGGUGUCA